Molecule: ribosomal RNA, 502 nt
Filed under: uncultured bacterium
Lineage: Bacteria
Description: bacterial SSU rRNA
Rfam family: Bacterial small subunit ribosomal RNA
Source: RNAcentral
CACGAGUUUGAUCCUGGCUCAGAUUGAACGCUGGCGGCAUGCCUUACACAUGCAAGUCGAACGGUAGAGUAGCAAUACUUGAGAGUGGCGAACGGGUGAGUAAUAUAUCGGAACGUGCCCAGUCGUGGGGGAUAACGUAGAGAAAUUUACGCUAAUACCGCAUACGAUCUAAGGAUGAAAGCGGGGGAUUCGCAAGAACCUCGCGCGAUUGGAGCGGCUGAUAUCAGAUUAGGUUGUUGGUGAGGUAAAAGCUCACCAAGCCGACGAUCUGUAGCUGGUUUGAGAGAACGACCAGCCACACUGGGACUGAGACACGGCCCAGACUCCUACGGGAGGCAGCAGUGGGGAAUUUUGGACAAUGGGCGAAAGCCUGAUCCAGCAAUGCCGCGUGCAGGAAGAAGGCCUUCGGGUUGUAAACUGCUUUUGUACGGAACGAAAAGGCUCUUUCUAAUAAAGAGGGCCCAUGACGGUACCGUAAGAAUAAGCACCGGCUAACUACGUG